RNAcentral lists this ribosomal RNA (492 nucleotides) under uncultured bacterium. Its description in RNAcentral is "partial 16S ribosomal RNA". It matches the Rfam family "Bacterial small subunit ribosomal RNA", at positions 29 to 507 of the family's 1533-position model. The record is from RNAcentral.
AGUGAACGCUGGCGGUAGGCCUAACACAUGCAAGUCGAACGGCAGCACAGUAAGAGCUUGCUCUUACGGGUGGCGAGUGGCGGAUGGGUGAGGAAUACAUCGGAAUCUACUUUUUCGUGGGGGAUAACGUCGGGAAACUUACGCUAAUACCGCAUACGACCUACGGGUGAAAGCAGGGGAUCUUCGGACCUUGCGCGAUUGACUGAGCCGAUGUCGGAUUAGCUAGUUGGCGGGGUAAAGGCCCACCAAGGCGACGAUCCGUAGCUGGUCUGAGAGGAUGAUCAGCCACACUGGAACUGAGACACGGUCCAGACUCCUACGGGAGGCAGCAGUGGGGAAUAUUGGACAAUGGGCGCAAGCCUGAUCCAGCCAUACCGCGUGGGUGAAGAAGGCCUUCGGGUUGUAAAGCCCUUUUGUUGGGAAAGAAAAGCAGCAGGUUAAUACCCCGCUGUUCUGACGGUACCCAAAGAAUAAGCACCGGCUAACUUCGUG